UAUCUGAAUUGGACCCCUAUAUUGCCCCUCACCUCUUAUAGCACUCAAAUCCUUCUCAAACACCACUACAUCAAAACCUUUCUUUUUUGCAGCCAAUGCAAAAACCAACCCUCCAAUACCACCCCCAGCAAUCAAUAUCUUCAGCUUCGUCUUCUUCUCCAACUGGUUUCCAUCCAAAUCUUUCGUCUCACUUGAUUUGGAAACACUCUGGGUUCCAGCUCCCACUGUAGCUUUGACUUGUAAAAGCCCCUUCUUUUGGUUGUUUGCUUUGCUUCUAAAAUGGUAAUUGAAAUGUAUACAAGGAGAGGGUUCUAUUGGAAUAUCCUUAGAAAUGGAAACUGGAAACUGAGUUCCUGUGAAAAG
Molecule: long non-coding RNA, 363 nt
Filed under: Gossypium barbadense (sea-island cotton)
Lineage: Eukaryota; Viridiplantae; Streptophyta; Magnoliopsida; Malvales; Malvaceae
Description: long non-coding RNA (GBAR_LNC010270)
Source: RNAcentral